This 373-nucleotide ribosomal RNA is filed under the name uncultured organism. RNAcentral's name for it is "partial 16S ribosomal RNA". It matches the Rfam family "Bacterial small subunit ribosomal RNA", at positions 527 to 896 of the family's 1533-position model. The record is from RNAcentral.
GUAGGUGGCAAGCGUUGUCCGGAAUUAUUGGGCGUAAAGCGCGCGCAGGCGGUUCUUUAAGUCUGAUGUGAAAGCCCACGGCUCAACCGUGGAGGGUCAUUGGAAACUGGAGAACUUGAGUACAGAAGAGGAAAGCGGAAUUCCACGUGUAGCGGUGAAAUGCGUAGAGAUGUGGAGGAACACCAGUGGCGAAGGCGGCUUUCUGGUCCGUAACUGACGCUGAGGCGCGAAAGCGUGGGGAGCAAACAGGGAUUAGAUACCCUGGUAGUCCACGCCGUAAACGAUGAGUGCUAAGUGUUAGGGGGGUUUCCGCCCCCUUAGUGCUGCAGCUAACGCAUUAAGCACUCCGCCUGGGGAUACGGCCGCAAGGCUG